Long non-coding RNA from Drosophila subobscura, 425 nucleotides. RefSeq lists it as uncharacterized. The record is from RefSeq and is a predicted model, not a curated record. NCBI's taxonomy places the organism in Eukaryota, Metazoa, Arthropoda, Insecta, Diptera, Drosophilidae. The transcript has 3 exons.
AAAGGCAAAAGCAAAAACCGGCCAGGAGUCGAACCCAAAAUUCCUUGUCAAUGCUAGUUAUGUUUUCAGCAAUUUGUUUCGAAAUCUUGCCACACACAGUCGACAUUUUGUUGGCUUGUGGGCUGUAAUAUGUUUCGAGACAAAUGGCCUGAAAAUAAUAAAAUCCAAAAUGAUUCGAGCAGCUACUUAAACACACGCAAUCGCCAAAUGCUGUACGCUUAGGCAAUUCUGAGCCACUAAUUGUAAUUCUAGGGGUCGGCUAAGAACGCUGGAUCCAAGGGCGAGUGUGUGUCUGUGUGCGUGUGUAUAUGAAUUGGGGGAGUGUUGAGUGGAGUGGGGGGAAUUAAAUAUAUAUUUUAUAUAUGUACGUAGCUAUCUACCUUUAGUCACUUAAGUUGCCACAAUACUUACUAGAGAAAACAAAA